GUCAUCGGUGACAUCAUGACCACCAUUUUGACACUCUUCAGUGAUGGUUGACACACAUGACCCCUUAUCAUUAUGAGUCAAAGAGGAGCUGAAAUAGCAAAACGCUACCGGGAGCGCCGUGAUGCUGACCCUGACAGAAAAAGACAGUAUCUUGAAAAAGAGAGGGUCAGGUGGAAGAAGGACAGAGACACUGGAAAGAAAAAGGGCAUUGAUGAGCUGAGUGAGCGAGAGAAGAGGGCAAAAAGAAAGAAGUGGAGAGAGGCAAAAAAAGCAGCCAGAGCAAAGUCCAGGGCCAGCGCUUUGCUUUUGUCAGAGACACCACCCAGUGAUCAGUCAAAAGUACAUGAACAGAAUAAAAGUUGGAGGCCAGAAGUCAUCGAGGAGAAGCACAUUGGUGAAUGGUGUGUAGUCAACUAUGACAAUGAUGGAUACCCUGGUAUCAUUCUUGAUGUAGAGGAGCACAAUGUGAAAGGGAAAUGCAUGCACAACAAAGGCAUCAACAAAUUCUGUUGGCCAAGUCCUCGUGAUGACAUCAACUGGUAUGGGGAUUGGCAGAUUCUGUGCCUCAUGUCGGAACCACAACUUGUGAACAGGCGUGCCUUCUCAGUUGAGCCAUCUGUAUGGAAGUACAUGGAGGACCAAUUACAGUAGACCUAGAUGUCCUGAUGUUCUGAUGAGUAGCCUACCCUUGAUAUGUGUUCUGAUGUUAACUGAGUACAGUUUGUACCUAACUCAUCCUUUUUAAUGUUUUUCUGUACUUAAUGAAUUGCGUUUGUCCACCCUGUCAUGUGAUUUUCCACCCUAUCAUGCCAAU
This is a long non-coding RNA of Eleginops maclovinus (Patagonian blennie), 814 nucleotides long. RefSeq lists it as uncharacterized. Lineage: Eukaryota; Metazoa; Chordata; Actinopteri; Perciformes; Eleginopidae. The record is from RefSeq and is a predicted model, not a curated record. The transcript is spliced from 3 exons.